UACAGAGGGGGCAAGCGUUAUUCGGAAUUAUUGGGCGUAAAGGGCGCGUAGGCGGCCUGGCAAGUGGAAGGUGAAAUCCCUCGGCUUAACCGAGGAACUGCCCUCCAAACUGCUUGGCUUGAGUCCGGGAGAGGUGAGUGGAAUUCCCAGUGUAGCGGUGAAAUGCGUAGAUAUUGGGAGAAACACCAGUGGCGAAGGCGGCUCACUGGACCGGAACUGACGCUGAGGCGCGAAAGCGUGGGGAGCAAACGGG
This 253-nucleotide ribosomal RNA is filed under the name uncultured bacterium. RNAcentral's name for it is "partial 16S ribosomal RNA". It matches the Rfam family "Bacterial small subunit ribosomal RNA", at positions 524 to 776 of the family's 1533-position model. The record is from RNAcentral.